UUUAUAGAGUCCAAAAGCAGAUUCUUGCUUUAUGAUGGACUGAAAGCAAUGGAAGGUCCCACGGUAGAGAGGUUUCUCUACAUUUUGAACUUGUAGACGAACCUUAACGGUGUCAAAGGGGUGUCCCACCAGCACUCCGGCAGCACCGCCGACGCAUCCCGCGAGGAAAUCCAAAGCCAUAGCUCAGCGCUCAGCGCCCUCCGCUCCCACCGGCGGGGCCCGGCCCUCUGCGCGCU
RNAcentral lists this long non-coding RNA (236 nucleotides) under Gallus gallus (chicken). Lineage: Eukaryota; Metazoa; Chordata; Aves; Galliformes; Phasianidae. The record is from RNAcentral.